This 23-nucleotide non-coding RNA is filed under the name Arabidopsis thaliana (thale cress). The record is from RNAcentral. Lineage: Eukaryota; Viridiplantae; Streptophyta; Magnoliopsida; Brassicales; Brassicaceae.
AGCAUUUGUGGUCCAGUGGUAGG